UACGGGGGGCAAGCGUUGUUCGGAAUUACUGGGCGUAAAGGGCUCGUAGGCGGCCAACUAAGUCAUACGUGAAAUCCCUCGGCUUAACCGGGGAACUGCGUCUGAUACUGGAUGGCUUGAGUUUGGGAGAGGGAUGCGGAAUUCCAGGUGUAGCGGUGAAAUGCGCAGAUAUCGGGAGGAACACCAGAGGCGAAGGCGGCUUCUGGCCUGUAACUGACGCUGAGGCGCGAAGGCUGGGGUAGCGAACAGG
RNAcentral lists this ribosomal RNA (250 nucleotides) under uncultured bacterium. Its description in RNAcentral is "partial 16S ribosomal RNA". It matches the Rfam family "Bacterial small subunit ribosomal RNA", at positions 526 to 776 of the family's 1533-position model. The record is from RNAcentral.